AGCGAACGCUGGCGGCACGCCUAACACAUGCAAGUCGAGCGAGAAAGUGACUUCGGUCACGAGUAAAGCGGCGAACGGGUGAGUACAACGUGGAUAAUCUACCCUAAGGUCCGGGACAACCCCGAGAAAUCGGAGCUAAUACCGGAUAAGACCACAGUAUCCGAGGAUACAGCGGUAAAAGAUUUAUCGCCUUUGGAUGAGUCCACGUCCCAUCAGGUAGUUGGUAAGGUAAAAGCUUACCAAGCCUAAGACGGGUAGCCGGCCUUAGCGGGUGAACGGCCACAUGGGGACUGAGACACGGCCCUGACUCCUACGGGAGGCAGCAGUGGGGAAUAUUGGGCAAUGGGCGAAAGCCUGACCCAGCGAUGCCGCG
This 373-nucleotide ribosomal RNA is filed under the name uncultured bacterium. RNAcentral describes it as "bacterial SSU rRNA". It matches the Rfam family "Bacterial small subunit ribosomal RNA", at positions 29 to 401 of the family's 1533-position model. The record is from RNAcentral.